RNAcentral lists this long non-coding RNA (251 nucleotides) under Salvia miltiorrhiza (redroot sage). RNAcentral's name for it is "long non-coding RNA (SMIL_LNC008694)". The record is from RNAcentral. Lineage: Eukaryota; Viridiplantae; Streptophyta; Magnoliopsida; Lamiales; Lamiaceae.
UUAAUAGGGCUUGGGCUGAUACAACGUUAAUCCACUAUAUAUCAUGACUAAUAUUAAUUUUUUUAUUAAACAAAAUGAUUAUUUAUUAACAUGUUCUUCGAAAUAAAAUAAUGAUUUCUUAAUUCGUCAUUAUCUGAUGAUUUUUAAAUUUUGGUAUCAAAUGAAACCAUAUUCAUAUUUACUAUAAUAACAGAUAACAGACGGUCUAAUAAUUUAUCAGUAAACCCCUACAAAAAAAAAAAAAAAAAAAA